UACGUAGGUGGCAAGCGUUGUUCGGAAUUAUUGGGCGUAAAGGGCGCGUAGGCGGCUUGUUAAGUCGGCUGUGAAAGCCCGGGGCUCAACCCCGGAGAGUCGGCCGAUACUGGCGAGCUAGAGUACGGAAGAGGUAGCUGGAAUUCCCGGUGUAGCGGUGAAAUGCGUAGAUAUCGGGAAGAACACCGGUGGCGAAGGCGGCCCGCUGGGCUGUGGCUGA
This 220-nucleotide ribosomal RNA is filed under the name uncultured prokaryote. RNAcentral describes it as "partial 16S ribosomal RNA". It matches the Rfam family "Bacterial small subunit ribosomal RNA", at positions 524 to 743 of the family's 1533-position model. The record is from RNAcentral.